CGUAGGGUGCAAGCGUUAAUCGGAAUUACUGGGCGUAAAGCGUGCGCAGGCGGUUAUGUAAGACAGAGGUGAAAUCCCCGGGCUCAACCUGGGAACUGCCUUUGUGACUGCAUAGCUAGAGUACGGCAGAGGGGGAUGGAAUUCCGCGUGUAGCAGUGAAAUGCGUAGAUAUGCGGAGGAACACCGAUGGCGAAGGCAAUCCCCUGGGCCUGUACUGACGCUCAUGCACGAAAGCGUGGGGAGCAAACAGGAUUAGAUACCCUGGUAGUCCACGCCCUAAACGAUGUCAACUGGUUGUUGGGUCCUCACUGACUCAGUAACGAAGCUAACGCGUGAAGUUGACCGCCUGGGGAGUACGGCCGCAAGGUUG
This 370-nucleotide ribosomal RNA is filed under the name uncultured organism. Its description in RNAcentral is "bacterial SSU rRNA". It matches the Rfam family "Bacterial small subunit ribosomal RNA", at positions 526 to 896 of the family's 1533-position model. The record is from RNAcentral.